This 1703-nucleotide long non-coding RNA is filed under the name Lynx pardinus (Iberian lynx). The record is from RNAcentral. Lineage: Eukaryota; Metazoa; Chordata; Mammalia; Carnivora; Felidae.
GCUUCUAUAUUUCAUAGGUGGGGAAAUCAUACUGAUGACUCAACCAUCCAUAGUGUUAUUUUGCUGUUUCAUGCUACCUCAGUGGAAAAUAACAAGUCUAAUUUUUACCCCCUGCACGAUAAAAAAAAUCUAUUAUUUUUAUUGAGGAACCUACCGCUGGUAGAAACUCAUUUAUUUCAGGGUAAUCUGGUUCUUAAAAUAUUAUUGAUAGCAUUUAUGUUUAACUGGAUUGCAAGAACAGAAUACACACAAGUCAUUUGGUUCCCAGUUUUAUAAUUUUGGCUUCCGUACCUUAUUUAGACAAGCUUAGGCUUCCUUUGCUUGGCUAUGACAGACAUUUUAGAAUAUCUCCGGACUCAUGAAUAUAAAUAGUUGUGCAAAAACAAAUUUUAUAAAACCAGAGCUGGUAACAAAAAUUACCUAGAGAUCAACAACUCUAAAAGAAUCUAGUGUCACAUUCCUUAGAAUGUCAGAUUAAACUAACAUGUGCCAGUCAAUAUUGCUACACUGCGACCCUUGAUGCCUCCUAAGCAAAACUAUUAAGUCCAACAUUCUCUCCUGUAAGCACUUAUCUGUAAGGAUGGCUAACAUGUCCUCUGAAGCAGAUAUUGAAACUGAUUGGACAAUAGGUAGAUACCAGACAGGGGCCUGGGGGCCGACCUCUAGAAAUAGGGGGAGAAAAUCUUAAUCUGCAACACAAUGCCGUUCUCUUGAAACCCUAUCAUUUUCACUUCCCAUGUGUCUGCUGCCUGACUGUGAAUGGAUUUGAAAAGGAAUGGUUAGUGCUGAAAAUUGGAUCAGAGCUAACAUUCUCUCAUUUUUAUCAGCAGCUGCCAAAGGUCAUCUGACAUAAUAGCUGAUGAAUUCAAGCCCAGUGGAUUUCAUUUGCAAUUUUCAAUUUACUGAGGCCUCCAAACCCCACGGUGAUAAAAGCUUCCCCUAUCGUGGCCUGUCACAAACAUCAAGAAACUGCACAAACCCACAAGAAAGAAAAAAGAGAAAGCUGUGCAUCCUCGCAGGUACAGAUAAGGAGAACAGGAAGAAAUGGUAUCAUGCGGGAAGGUAUGGAGCAGCUUGUGUGGCUGGUUCUCUAAAUGCCAAUUGAAAGGAAAAGACUAUGAAGAACAAUCAAAUAACUUCCACAGAAUAACAUCAUGUUUCUUUGGGGCUUUUGUGUGAAAAUUGCCUUCUAAUCUCUUACUUGACAAGUCCCCAAACAAAACUGUAAGCGUAAAUAUGCAAACAAAUAAAUGAAUAAAUAAUCCUUUCUUAUUUGGUCAUGGGAAAAAAGCACACUCAGUGUAUGUUGUAUUUACCAUACUUUUGAUUCACAAAAUGCAUGCUUGUAAAGGAUAUUGUAUCAAGGAAAUGUCGGUCAGCCCUAAGAAAUCAUUUAUUUUGUUACAGAGAUAUGGUAGAUCCUUUGAUUGAUUUGCAAGGGCAGUCAAAGAACUGACAGAGCAACUACUUGUAAGUGGAUCUAGAUACAGUGUAUAUAUAUCACAGAUGUAUUAGAAAAAAAAAAAAAAAAAGAAGGCCAUUUUCCCCCUUGUAGCACUAUUGGCAGUGAGCUUAGGCAGGAUCAGGGACUGAAUCCUGCUCCCAGGAAUUGUUCAAAUUGAGUAGACCAUAUGCAUGCUCCAUGGAGAAUGGCAAGUUUAAAAGCUGAGCAGUCCAUUUCCAUCCUAUCCAACUUGUCUCAU